Molecule: unclassified non-coding RNA, 385 nt
Filed under: uncultured fungus
Lineage: Eukaryota; Fungi
Description: sequence contains ITS1
Rfam family: 5.8S ribosomal RNA (bases 1-106)
Source: RNAcentral
AAAUUGCGCGUCGCCAUGUGAACUGCAGGACACAUGAACAUCGACAUUUCGAACGCACAUUGCGGUCCAUGGAUUCCAUUCCCGGACCACGCCUGGCUGAGGGUCGGUUGUCAACACUUUCGGGUUCAGGUUUUUCUUGUUCCCGAAUGACUGCUGAGCGUUCGCUUUUCGCGACGCUUGAAACUGGUUGCAUAGCGAGAUGGUCUGUGAUUGGAUUUUUCUCUGCUCCGCGUCUCGUUGCCCCUUUGGGUAGCUUUGCACGGGCUAGGAUAUUUCACCACAGUUCGCAAUGACAACGGGCGGUGAUGCACGUGCAUGCGUGUGCCACUUAGCCGCGACUACCAACAACGACCUCAGAGCAGGUGAGACUACCCGCUGAAUUUAA